This 253-nucleotide ribosomal RNA is filed under the name uncultured bacterium. RNAcentral describes it as "partial 16S ribosomal RNA". It matches the Rfam family "Bacterial small subunit ribosomal RNA", at positions 524 to 776 of the family's 1533-position model. The record is from RNAcentral.
UACGGAGGGUGCAAGCGUCAAUCGGAAUUACUGGGCGUAAAGCGCACGCAGGCAGUCUGUCAAGUCAGAUGUGAAAUCCCGGGGCUCAACCCCGGAACUGCCUUUGAUACUGGGUAUCUGGAGUAUGGAAGAGGUGAGUGGGAUUCCGAGUGUAGAGGUGAAAUUCGUAGAUAUUCGGAGGAACACCAGUGGCGAAGGCGGCUCACUGGUCCAUUACUGACGCUGAGGUGCGUAAGCGUGGGGAGCGAACAGG